Molecule: transfer RNA, 83 nt
Filed under: Crocinitomicaceae bacterium
Lineage: Bacteria; Pseudomonadati; Bacteroidota; Flavobacteriia; Flavobacteriales; Crocinitomicaceae
Description: tRNA-Leu
Rfam family: tRNA
About the family: Transfer RNA (tRNA) molecules are approximately 80 nucleotides in length. Their secondary structure includes four short double-helical elements and three loops (D, anti-codon, and T loops).
Source: RNAcentral
ACCCACGUGCUGAAAUUGGUAGACAGGCUGUGUUGAGGGCGCAGUGUCCUACGGACGUGCGGGUUCAAGUCCCGCCGUGGGUA